This 497-nucleotide ribosomal RNA is filed under the name uncultured bacterium. RNAcentral describes it as "partial 16S ribosomal RNA". It matches the Rfam family "Bacterial small subunit ribosomal RNA", at positions 28 to 507 of the family's 1533-position model. The record is from RNAcentral.
GAUGAACGCUGGCGGCGUGCCUAAUACAUGCAAGUCGAGCGAACGGACGAGAAGCUUGCUUCUCUGAUGUUAGCGGCGGACGGGUGAGUAACACGUGGAUAACCUACCUAUAAGACUGGGAUAACUUCGGGAAACCGGAGCUAAUACCGGAUAAUAUUUUGAACCGCUUGGUUCAAAAGUGAAAGACGGUCUUGCUGUCACUUAUAGAUGGAUCCGCGCUGCAUUAGCUAGUUGGUAAGGUAACGGCUUACCAAGGCAACGAUGCAUAGCCGACCUGAGAGGGGGAUCGGCCACACUGGAACUGAGACACGGUCCAGACUCCUACGGGAGGCAGCAGUAGGGAAUCUUCCGCAAUGGGCGAAAGACUGACGGAGCAACGCCGCGUGAGUGAUGAAGGUCUUCGGAUCGUAAAACUCUGUUAUUAGGGAAGAACAUAUGUGUAAGUAACUGUGCACAUCUUGACGGUACCUAAUCAGAAAGCCACGGCUAACUACGUG